UUAAUGGAGGUCCAUUAUACG
Caenorhabditis elegans is the source of this 21-nucleotide non-coding RNA. The record is from Ensembl. Lineage: Eukaryota; Metazoa; Nematoda; Chromadorea; Rhabditida; Rhabditidae.